CAUGUCUUUUUGAUAAUAAUUUAAAGUCUAACCUGCCCUAUGAAUCAUUAGUGUUUAAAUGGCUGCGGUAGUUUGACCGUGCAAAGGUAGCAUAAUAAUUAGUUUUUUAAUUGGGAACUGGUAUGAAAGGUUGGACGAGAUAAAUACUGUCUCAAUUUAAUUUAAGUUAGAAUUUUAUUUUUAAGUAAGAAAGCUUAAAUAUUUUUAAAAGACGAGAAGACCCUAUAGAGUUUUAUAUAAUUAAAAUUAUAUAAAAAUUAAAGGUAUUUAAGAUUUAUUUAAUAUUAUAUUAUAUUUAAUUGGGGUGAUUGAAAAAUUAAAAUAACUUUUUUUAAAAAAUUGACCAUUAAUUUAUGAGUAAUUGAUCCAUAUGUUAUGAUUAAAAGAUUAAAUUACCUUAGGGAUAACAGCGUAAUUUUUUUUAAGAGUUCUAAUCGAAAAAAAAGUUUGCGACC
RNAcentral lists this ribosomal RNA (455 nucleotides) under Megathoposoma candezei. RNAcentral's name for it is "partial 16S ribosomal RNA". The record is from RNAcentral. Lineage: Eukaryota; Metazoa; Arthropoda; Insecta; Coleoptera; Scarabaeidae.